RNAcentral lists this ribosomal RNA (433 nucleotides) under uncultured bacterium. RNAcentral's name for it is "partial 16S ribosomal RNA". It matches the Rfam family "Bacterial small subunit ribosomal RNA", at positions 29 to 507 of the family's 1533-position model. The record is from RNAcentral.
AACGAACGCUGGCGGCAGGCUUAACACAUGCAAGUCGAGCGCAUCCUUCGGGGUGAGCGGCGGACGGGUGAGUAACGCGUGGGAACGUGCCCUCUUCUACGGAAUAGCCUCGGGAAACUGAGAGUAAUGCCGUAUACGCCCGCAAGGGGAAAGAUUUAUCGGAGGAGGAUCGGCCCGCGUUGGAUUAGGUAGUUGGUGGGGUAACGGCCUACCAAGCCGACGAUCCAUAGCUGGUUUGAGAGGAUGAUCAGCCACACUGGGACUGAGACACGGCCCAGACUCCUACGGGAGGCAGCAGUGGGGAAUCUUGGACAAUGGGGGCAACCCUGAUCCAGCCAUGCCGCGUGAUCGAUGAAGGCCUUAGGGUUGUAAAGAUCUUUCAGCUGGCAAGAUAAUGACGGUACCAGCAGAAGAAGCCCCGGCUAACUCCGUG